GCCUCGGUAGAUCAUGGUGGAUCGUCCCUGUUACUUUGACCAAUACCGAUUCUACAGCGGGAAGAUGAGGGUUCGAGUCCCUCCCGAGGCA
Mycena rebaudengoi is the source of this 91-nucleotide non-coding RNA. NCBI's taxonomy places the organism in Eukaryota, Fungi, Basidiomycota, Agaricomycetes, Agaricales, Mycenaceae. The record is from the annotation of a GenBank genome assembly.